Molecule: ribosomal RNA, 416 nt
Filed under: uncultured bacterium
Lineage: Bacteria
Description: bacterial SSU rRNA
Rfam family: Bacterial small subunit ribosomal RNA
Source: RNAcentral
UGCUUUACACAUGCAAGUCGUACGGGAGUUUUUAACUCUAGUGGCGGACGGGUGAGUAACACGUAAGAAUUUGCCUUUAGGAGGGGGAUAACAUCGUCAGAAAUGAUUCGAGAAAUUGAUGCUAAUACCCCAUAUGCUUUCGAGUGAAAUGGAGUUUUCCGCCUAAAGAGAAGCUUGCGGCUGAUUAGCUUGUUGGUGAGGUAAUGGCUUACCAAGGCGACGAUCAGUAUCUGGUUUGAGAGGAUGAUCAGACACACUGGAACUGAGACACGGUCCAGACUCCUACGGGAGGCAGCAGUGGGGAAUUUUCCGCAAUGGGCGAAAGCCUGACGGAGCAAUCUCGCGUGAGGGAUGACUGCCUAUGGGUUGUAAACCUCUUUUUUCAGGGAGGAAUAAAUGACGUUACCUGAAGAAUA